RNAcentral lists this unclassified non-coding RNA (237 nucleotides) under fungal sp. RNAcentral describes it as "partial internal transcribed spacer region". The stretch from base 1 to 46 matches the Rfam family "Eukaryotic small subunit ribosomal RNA", at positions 1786 to 1831 of the family's 1831-position model. Lineage: Eukaryota; Fungi. The record is from RNAcentral.
AAGUCGUAACAAGGUUUCCGUAGGUGAACCUGCGGAAGGAUCAUUAGAAAUCACCGGCCUAGCCGGUAUAAAAUUCUAUCCACCCUUGUGUGCAAACAAUGGAAAAAGAGAGAAAAUUGGAUACUUUUUGUGUCCAAUCUCUCUAAAAUUUUUAUAAACUCCAUCAAAUUUUGAAUAAAACUAUUUUUUAUAAUAAAAUAUAUUAUACAACUUUCAACAACGGAUCUCUUGGCUCUC